This is a long non-coding RNA of Gavialis gangeticus (Gharial), 280 nucleotides long. RefSeq lists it as uncharacterized. The transcript is spliced from 2 exons. NCBI's taxonomy places the organism in Eukaryota, Metazoa, Chordata, Crocodylia, Gavialidae. The record is from RefSeq and is a predicted model, not a curated record.
AUAACAGACUAAACUAGUCUGUUAAGUAUGGCAUGGCAUCAUUUCCCUAAUUUAAUUUUUAAUAAGAUCUUGGAUUAGCAAAAAUGUGCUGAAGAAUGUACAUGUAAUUAAGAUACGUAAUGUUUCUGCUUAUUCUCUGAAAGGUAGUGUUAGCUUGUAUGUUAAUUAAUGGUAGUUAUGCCUUAACAUUUAAAGGCUGCAUAUGCCCUGACAACUGAUAGUUCCGCUGCUUUUAAACCUCGGGAUGUUGCAACUCUUUUUUUUUUUUUUUCCCCCCCCC